GACGAACGCGGCGGCGUGCUUAAUACAUGCAAGUAGCAACGCUGAAGGAGGAGCUUGCUUCUCUGGAUGAGUUGCGAACGGGUGAGUAACGCGUAGGUAACCUCCUGGUAGCGGGGGAUAACUAUUGGAAACGAUAGCUAAUACCGCAUAAGAGUAGAUGUUGCAUGACAUUUGCUUAAAAGGUGCAAUUGCAUCACUACCAGAUGGACCUGCGUUGUAUUAGCUAGUUGGUGGGGUAACGGCUCACCAAGGCGACGAUACAUAGCCGACCUGAGAGGGUGAUCGGCCACACUGGGACUGAGACACGGCCCAGACUCCUACGGGAGGCAGCAGUAGGGAAUCUUCGGCAAUGGACGGAAGUCUGACCGAGCAACGCCGCGUGAGUGAAGAAGGUUUUCGGAUCGUAAAGCUCUGUUGUAAGAGAAGAACGAGUGUGAGAGUGGAAAGUUCACACUGUGACGGUAUCUUACCAGAAAGGGACGGCUAACUACGUGCCAGCAGCCGCGGUAAUACGUAGGUGGCAAGCGUUAUCCGGAUUUAUUGGGCGUAAAGAGAGUGCAGGCGGUUUUCUAAGUCUGAUGUGAAAGCCUUCGGCUUAACCGGAGAAGUGCAUCGGAAACUGGAUAACUUGAGUGCAGAAGAGGGUAGUGGAACUCCAUGUGUAGCGGUGGAAUGCGUAGAUAUAUGGAAGAACACCAGUGGCGAAGGCGGCUACCUGGUCUGCAACUGACGCUGAGACUCGAAAGCAUGGGUAGCGAACAGG
RNAcentral lists this ribosomal RNA (763 nucleotides) under uncultured Streptococcus sp. Its description in RNAcentral is "bacterial SSU rRNA". It matches the Rfam family "Bacterial small subunit ribosomal RNA", at positions 28 to 776 of the family's 1533-position model. Lineage: Bacteria; Bacillati; Bacillota; Bacilli; Lactobacillales; Streptococcaceae. The record is from RNAcentral.